RNAcentral lists this ribosomal RNA (498 nucleotides) under uncultured bacterium. RNAcentral's name for it is "partial 16S ribosomal RNA". It matches the Rfam family "Bacterial small subunit ribosomal RNA", at positions 28 to 507 of the family's 1533-position model. The record is from RNAcentral.
GACGAACGCUGGCGGCGUGCCUAAUACAUGCAAGUCGAGCGGACAGACCGGAAGCUUGCUCCUGAUUCGUUAGCGGCGGACGGGUGAGUAACACGUGGGCAACCUGCCUAGUAGACGGGGAUAACACCGAGAAAUCGGUGCUAAUACCGGAUAACACGUUAUGUCGCAUGAUGCUUUGUUGAAAGACGGUUCUAGCUGUACCUAUAGAAUGAGCCCGCGGCGCAUUAGCUAGUUGGUAAGGUAACGGCUAACCAAGGCAACGAUGCGUAGCCGACCUGAGAGGGUGAUCGGCCACACUGGAACUGAGACACGGCCCAGACUCCUACGGGAGGCAGCAGUAGGGAAUCUUCCGCAAUGGGCGAAAGUCUGACGGAGCAACGCCGCGUGAGUGAUGAAGGCCUUCGGAUCGUAAAACUCUGUUAUUAGGGAAGAACAAAUGUCUCAGUAACUAUGGUUACCUUGACGGUACCUAACGAGAAAGCCACGGCUAACUACGUG